This 513-nucleotide ribosomal RNA is filed under the name uncultured bacterium. RNAcentral's name for it is "bacterial SSU rRNA". It matches the Rfam family "Bacterial small subunit ribosomal RNA", at positions 18 to 518 of the family's 1533-position model. The record is from RNAcentral.
CCUGGCUUAGGAUGAACGCUGGCGGCGUGCUUAACACAUGCAAGUCGAACGGAGACUGCGAUUGAAGCUGAAGUAGCUUGCUAUGGAUGUGGAUAUCGUAUCUUAGUGGCGGACGGGUGAGUAACGCGUGGGUAACCUACCUCAGUACAGGGGAAUAGCAGUUGGAAACGACUGAUAAAACCGCAUAAAACGGCAGCAGGGCAUCCUGCAACCGUCAAAUAUUUAUAGGUAUGAGAUGGGCCCGCGUCUGAUUAGGCAGUUGGCGAGGUAACGGCUCACCAAACCGACGAUCAGUAGCCGGCCUGAGAGGGUGAACGGCCACAUUGGGACUGAGACACGGCCCAAACUCCUACGGGAGGCAGCAGUGGGGAAUAUUGGACAAUGGGGGCAACCCUGAUCCAGCGAACCGCCGCGUGAGUGAAGAAGUAUUUCGGUAUGUAAAGCUCUAUCAGCAGGGAAGAUGAUGACGGUACCUGACUAAGAAGCCCCGGCUAACUACGUGCCAGCAGCUGC